ACUUUCUGAAUAAAAAAAAAAAAGGAAACCCCAAAACCCCACAGAAACCUUGCUUGCUUUCUCCACCUUUUCAAUGGACUAGUACACUGUCUGGUUCUGCCUUACCAAGUUUACGUAGGACUGGAAGGACAACAACUCUGGCGAAAAAUAGUAAAAGUAUUAUUUUCCUUUUCUGUGAAACAGAUGUAAAAUACUUGUGAUUCUUUAUUUCCUGUGAGCCCAUUUCCAGGCCUUAUUUAAUGCCACCACUUUGUGGGAUCAGAGAUAUUUGACAGAGUUCCUAUUAUAAAGGAAAAUCAGAUCCUGUUUAUGUUGCUUCUUGUCUCAAGCUGUAAUUCACAUCUUCUCAUGUUUCUGGCAAAAUGAUUUAUCAAAAUUAAACCAGAAUAUGUUCAAAGCACUUUUCUUUUUUACUUGGUUGGUCGGUCUUUUUUAUGUUGGGUUGAGAAGAGUCAGCUUGGGUAUGUCACUGUCUAUCACAGCUAGAAUAUCUGCUAGGAAGCAGAAGUGCAGUUCCCUCUGAGGCAGAUCAACUGCUGGAUUUAACAUAUUGUUGGGAAAACAAACUGUAGAGCAAAGUGAAGUACUUGAAACAGGCUCCACUCUGUACAGAUGUUCUCACUCAGAAAGCAGCUAGAGGGACCGGAAGAUAAACGAAGGCUGUCCAACUUUGAAAAAGGUCUGGAUUUUCAUUCUGUCUUAAUAAGUAAAUACAGUUUUUGUGGUAGUCCGAUUUUCAGCCUGAUAGAAAAUUCAACAGCUACAGACAUGACCUAAAAUGACAGAUAACUGAAAAUGUACAAGCAAGACCUUAGAAAGGUGCUAUACAAUAUCAUAAAAAUAUUUUUUGUUUUAAUCUUAAAUGCUUUUAUGUCAAAGGAGGGGAGCAAAGACCAGAAAUUGGAAACGUUGUUAGUAUUCUAACUCUGGAGCAGGUCAUACAUGCUUGCAGGCAGCGUGCAAUACUUGGAAUGCAAGGCUAAGAUCUGAAAGGCAAUUCAGGAACCCCUCCUGCAGAAAACAUUUUUUAUUAUUGUUAUAGAAAGCAAGACAGGAUUACUGAGCUCAGAAGGGUUAUUUGUGGAUAACUUCCAGCUGAAGUGAUAAAGGGCUCCAGCCACUAGCCAAAAAAUAAAAAAGAGCAUCAAAAACAUUCUGCUUGUCAUUGCUGCUGGCUUUUUGUUCAAUGAGGUGAGCAUUUGUCUUGUGUUGGUUUUGGUCCUCUGCCCUUGGCGAUACUUUUAACAAUGAAUAAUACUUGAAAGAAUUCCAAAAUGUGUGGGCUUUUUCUUUUUCCCUUUGAACUUUGAGCUUAAAGAUAAAUAAAGGAGUAAUUUGGUAUGUCUAGAAAAUAUUUGUGAUAACAAAUAGAUGUAGUGGUCCCUAAUGGUCAGGAAACUAACAACGUGCUUUUUACAAGCACACCACAGCCCUUGAUAACAAGAACCCCACCUAAUAUUUUAUUUUUUAAUUGAAGGUGAAGCACUGUACCUACUUUUAAAAAAUCAUCUCCUUAGAAAAUGUGAAAUGUGAUCAUCUUCAGCAGAACCUUUGAUAUUUGUGUUUAGCUAGAGGAUUUUUUUGUUUUUUUAACUUUUAAGCUGCUCUUUUAUCUGCCAGAAAAGGCAAGAUCUAAGAAACACACUGAAGAGGAGAUGUUUGUGAUGCUAAAAGGUUCCUCUGGCAGUCUCAGACUUGCAUAGAGGAAAUUUGGGCUCCUGUACAGAUGAGCUGCUCUCAUAGAAUCCAGUAGUAUGAGAUAAACAGUCUACCACAAAGUCAUAGGCCACCACCUUGAAUCUGACUUCAAAGUACUUCAGAUCCUAAGCAGAAGAAAUUUGGAUAUGCACGU
Long non-coding RNA from Neopsephotus bourkii (Bourke's parrot), 1852 nucleotides. RefSeq lists it as uncharacterized. Lineage: Eukaryota; Metazoa; Chordata; Aves; Psittaciformes; Psittacidae. The record is from RefSeq and is a predicted model, not a curated record. The transcript has 2 exons.